AACGAACGCUGGCGGCAUGCCUAACACAUGCAAGUCGAACGAGAUCUUCGGGUCUAGUGGCGCACGGGUGCGUAACGCGUGGGAAUCUGCCCUUCGGUUCGGAAUAACAGUUGGAAACGACUGCUAAUACCGGAUGAUGACGAAAGUCCAAAGAUUUAUCGCCAGAGGAUGAGCCCGCGUAGGAUUAGCUAGUUGGUGUGGUAAAGGCGCACCAAGGCGACGAUCCUUAGCUGGUCUGAGAGGAUGAUCAGCCACACUGGGACUGAGACACGGCCCAGACUCCUACGGGAGGCAGCAGUGGGGAAUAUUGGACAAUGGGCGAAAGCCUGAUCCAGCAAUGCCGCGUGAGUGAUGAAGGCCUUAGGGUUGUAAAGCUCUUUUACCCGGGAUGAUAAUGACAGUACCGGGAGAAUAAGCUCCGGCUAACUCCGUGCCAGCAGCCGUCGUAA
Molecule: ribosomal RNA, 449 nt
Filed under: uncultured bacterium
Lineage: Bacteria
Description: partial 16S ribosomal RNA
Rfam family: Bacterial small subunit ribosomal RNA
Source: RNAcentral